GGCUUGUUGGCUCAUUGGUUAGAGCUCAGUGAUUUUAAGCACGGAAAUCGUGAGUUCGAUCCUCAUCCAAGCCA
Molecule: transfer RNA, 74 nt
Filed under: Daphnia galeata
Lineage: Eukaryota; Metazoa; Arthropoda; Branchiopoda; Diplostraca; Daphniidae
Rfam family: tRNA
About the family: Transfer RNA (tRNA) molecules are approximately 80 nucleotides in length. Their secondary structure includes four short double-helical elements and three loops (D, anti-codon, and T loops). Further hydrogen bonds mediate the characteristic L-shaped molecular structure. tRNAs have two regions of fundamental functional importance: the anti-codon, which is responsible for specific mRNA codon recognition, and the 3' end, to which the tRNAs corresponding amino acid is attached (by aminoacyl-tRNA synthetases). tRNAs cope with the degeneracy of the genetic code in two manners: having more than one tRNA (with a specific anti-codon) for a particular amino acid; and 'wobble' base-pairing, i.e. permitting non-standard base-pairing at the 3rd anti-codon position.
Source: Rfam by way of RNAcentral